UUUUUUUGCUUGGGUAGUAUUAGUUAAAUUCUUGAAACUCAAAAAAUUUGGCGGUAUUUUAGUCUAUUCAGAGGAACCUGUAACGUAAUUGAUAAUCCACGUUGGACCUUACUUAAUUUUGUUUACAAUUUGUAUACCGCCGUUAUUAAAAAUUUUAUAAGAAAAAUAAUUUUUAAAAAUUUAAAAAAGAAAAUAAAUCAGGUCAAGGUGCAGUUUAUARUUAAGUGUUAUAUGGGUUACAAUAAAUUUAUUUAUAUGGAUUAAUAUUUGAAAUAAAGUUAAGAAAUUGGAUUUGAUAGUAAUUUUUAAUAGAUUAUAAAAUUGAUUUUAGCUCUAAAAUAUGCACACAUCGCCCGUCACUUUUACUAUUAAUGUAAGAUAAGUCGUAACAUAGUAGAUGUACCGGAAGGUGUAUCUAGAAAGACAAUUUAAAGCUUAUUAAGUAAAGUAUUUCAUUUACAUUGAAAUGAUUAUUGUGCAAAUCAAUAUGAAUUGAUGAAAUAAAAUUAUUAAUAUUUUAUUUAUAUUAUUUUAUUAAAAAUAAUUUUUAUUUUGUUUUAGUAUUUUUUAAAGAAUAAAUAAUUUUUAUUAUAGAGAAUUAAUAGUACUGUGAAGGAAUUU
This 621-nucleotide ribosomal RNA is filed under the name Neurigona sp. 1 SNK-2009. RNAcentral describes it as "partial 12S ribosomal RNA". The stretch from base 1 to 426 matches the Rfam family "Microsporidia small subunit ribosomal RNA". The record is from RNAcentral. Lineage: Eukaryota; Metazoa; Arthropoda; Insecta; Diptera; Dolichopodidae.